CCUACGGGCGGCUGCAGUGAGGAAUAUUGGUCAAUGGGCGCGAGCCUGAACCAGCCAAGUAGCGUGAAGGAUGACUGCCCUACGGGUUGUAAACUUCUUUUAUAAAGGAAUAAAGUGAGGCACGUGUGCCUUUUUGUAUGUACUUUAUGAAUAAGGAUCGGCUAACUCCGUGCCAGCAGCCGCGGUAAUACGGAGGAUCCGAGCGUUAUCCGGAUUUAUUGGGUUUAAAGGGAGCGUAGAUGGGUUGUUAAGUCAGUUGUGAAAGUUUGCGGCUCAACCGUAAAAUUGCAAUUGAUACUGGCAGCCUUGAGUACAGUUGGGGUAGGCGGAAUUCGUGGUGUAGCGGUGAAAUGUUUAGAUAUAACGAAGACCUCCGAUUGCGAAGGAAGCUUACUAAACUGCAACUGAAAUUGAUGCUCGAAAGUGUGGGUAUAAACAAGGAUUAGAUACCUAGUAGUC
RNAcentral lists this ribosomal RNA (459 nucleotides) under uncultured bacterium. RNAcentral describes it as "partial 16S ribosomal RNA". It matches the Rfam family "Bacterial small subunit ribosomal RNA", at positions 338 to 795 of the family's 1533-position model. The record is from RNAcentral.